RNAcentral lists this ribosomal RNA (406 nucleotides) under uncultured bacterium. Its description in RNAcentral is "partial 16S ribosomal RNA". It matches the Rfam family "Bacterial small subunit ribosomal RNA", at positions 30 to 526 of the family's 1533-position model. The record is from RNAcentral.
AUUGAACGCUGGCGGCAGGCCUAACACAUGCAAGUCGAACGAGUGGCGGACGGGUGAGUAAUGUCUGGGAAACUGCCUGAUGGAGGGGGAUAACUACUGGAAACGGUAGCUAAUAACGCAUACCAUCAGAUGUGCCCAGAUGGGAUUAGCUAGUAGGUGGGGUAAUGGGUAACUUAGGCGACGAUCCCUAGCUGGUCUGAGAGGAUGACCGGCCACACUGGAACUGAGACACGGUCGAGAGUCCGACGGGAGGCAGCAGUGGGGAAUAUUGCACAAUUGGCGCAAGCCUGCUGCAGCCAUGCCGCGUGUGUGAAGAAGGCCUUCGGGUUGUGAAGCACGUUCAGCGAGGAGGCGUUACUCGCAGAAGAAGCACCGGCUAACUCCGUGCCAGCAGCCGCGGUAAUAC